This 245-nucleotide ribosomal RNA is filed under the name uncultured bacterium. RNAcentral's name for it is "partial 16S ribosomal RNA". It matches the Rfam family "Bacterial small subunit ribosomal RNA", at positions 796 to 1041 of the family's 1533-position model. The record is from RNAcentral.
CUAGCCGUAAACGAUGGGUACUAGGUGUGGGAGGUAUCGACCCCUUCCGUGCCGGAGUUAACGCAAUAAGUACCCCGCCUGGGGACUACGAUCGCAAGAUUGAAACUCAAAGGAAUUGACGGGGGCCCGCACAAGCAGCGGAGCAUGUGGUUUAAUUCGAAGCAACGCGAAGAACCUUACCUAGACUUGACAUCUCCUGAAUUACCCGUAAUGGGGGAAGCUCUUCGGAGCAGGAAGACAGGUGG